This 71-nucleotide transfer RNA is filed under the name Rosellinia necatrix. It matches the Rfam family "tRNA". From Rfam's summary of the family: Transfer RNA (tRNA) molecules are approximately 80 nucleotides in length. RNAcentral also lists the same sequence under 1 other name. The record is from Rfam by way of RNAcentral. Lineage: Eukaryota; Fungi; Ascomycota; Sordariomycetes; Xylariales; Xylariaceae.
GUCUCUAUAGCUCAAAGGUAGAGCUUGAUACUGUUAAUAUCAUGAUAGAUGUUCGAUUCAUCUUAGGGGCG